This 253-nucleotide ribosomal RNA is filed under the name uncultured bacterium. RNAcentral's name for it is "partial 16S ribosomal RNA". It matches the Rfam family "Bacterial small subunit ribosomal RNA", at positions 524 to 776 of the family's 1533-position model. The record is from RNAcentral.
UACGAAGGGGGCUAGCGUUGUUCGGAAUUACUGGGCGUAAAGCGCACGUAGGCGGAUCUUUAAGUCAGGGGUGAAAUCCUGGAGCUCAACUCCAGAACUGCCUUUGAUACUGAGGAUCUCGAGUCCGGGAGAGGUGAGUGGAACUGCGAGUGUAGAGGUGAAAUUCGUAGAUAUUCGCAAGAACACCAGUGGCGAAGGCGGCUCACUGGCCCGGUACUGACGCUGAGGUGCGAAAGCGUGGGGAGCAAACAGG